AGCUACGGUUCCUAAAAUUCCUCUUCAUUUGAAGUUUUAAAGAUUUAAUCUCUUAAAUGGCUUGAUAAUUCUUCCGAAAUGCUUUGAACUCAGUAAGCGAAACUAUACUUUGAGAAGAUUCCGGUUCUACGGGUGAUACAGGAACCUCAUUAGUUCGUCUAGACUACUGUCUGUUAAAGUAAUAUUAGUUUGCGGGUUCGUGUUAUUUCGUAUAGUAUAGUCUGUCUCAAUCUUCAUCGUGCUGACUUUUGACCGCAAUUAUGGAAGUUUCCUGCCGACGGCAACACAACUCGGGUGCUGUAGGUGCAACAUUUUCAGCUCUCACCUUUGUUUCCACAAAUUCUUUAUGGAGUUAAACAUGAAAUGAUAUGGAGGAAGACGUAAAACAGACAAGUUGCUUGAUGAGGCUGGUGUUUUGCGUAGCAAACGACUGUGGUAGUUUGCGCUAGCUGUGACAAUAAGACAACAGCAAGCAAUUUGGGACAAUUCCGUCUUCUGGACUAGUGUGUAGUAUGGUGAUGCGUUGUCCUUUAUUUGAAGGUGCUUUCGUCUGACUGUUUUGAGUGGAUUCAAUCCAUCCUUUGGAUUCAGUGUUGUGCGUAUCGAAACAUGUUUUAUUAAGGUAAAUUAUGGAUAUGUUGUCUAAUCUAUAUCCUUUAAUUUCAUCAAGGUAAUUAAAUCCCCAUUUGUGUAAUCUGUGUGAUUUCUUUACUACUUACUUUUUUUCUAUUUUGAGGUACUUAAAUUCCAUUUGACAAACAACUCUAUGGAGGGUGGCACGGCUUAUAUUUAUAUUUAUUUCAUCUUCUUCUACCUUCUUUUUCAGUUUAUCAAAGGUAAGAACAACUUCGCUUUGAUAAAGACAAUAUAUUUUUCUUCUUAUUAAGUCCUAAUUACUAUUGUCUGAGUUUAUCUUUUUGUUCAAUUCUCAACUAUUAAUUAUAUCCUUUAUCGACGAUAUUGGCGUUAGGCAGAUUUCUUUUAAAGUUUCAUACACAUUUUCACAACCGGUUUUGCUUAAAACGACAAAUGAAUUCGACGCGAUAUAGUUAUAUUCUCGAGACACACAGUAUAAACGAUUAUUCAACACUGCCACAAAUGGUCAACUCACAGAAAUAUAUUUGAAAGAAAGAAAUAUACCUUGCCUUGUCACUCAAGUAACUGUUCUGUUGUGACAUUCUCCGUUUCUUUCAGCAUAGAUGUUGCUAGGUGGAUGACCUGGUGGUGACUUAAUCGAAGUAAUACCAUGACCUUGAAAAAAAGAUAUAAACUCUGUAGACCUCUACCUGCCACUAACUCUACUGGUAAAUUAACUGCUGCAAAGGUUUCUCUUAAUUUAGACACCAAUUUAAUUUCUAACCAUUUAGAUUUUUUAUCAAAAAUGGGCAAAAGUGUAUGAUUAAAUGUGUGCAGAAAAUUCAUAAAAAUUCAGUAGAAAUUAUGAUAUGCUUGUGACCAGGGCAAAAGAGGUUUUGUGCCUGUUAAAUUUUGAUAAUUUUGACAGGACAAAUUUUAUGGUGUCAUUAUUACUAUUUGACCACCACUAGUAGGACCUAAUUAACAGUUUGGUGCGGACGAUGCAGUAUGUUGUCCAUGAAAGAGUUUAAGAGUGUCUUGUCUGAAUGCGGGAGGUAUCUCUACCCUAUUGCCAAUCAAGAUGCUGUUAUUAUCUAUAGAUAAUUCAUUUAAAAUAUUGCUUGAAUUUAUCAUCAUGUACUUCGCUCGGCCAUCCUAAUGAAAUAAAUUAUUUUAUUGUUCGUAGCUUUUUUUGUAUCUGCAUUCAGAGGUAUUUUAUUUAUUAAGUUAGAGGAAUAAAUGAAGUGCGGAAUUCUACUUGGUUAAGAAGAAGGUAAACCCGAUAAACCAUCAGUGACAACACCGCGAGCACCGUAAAAAAGGUCGUCUGCAAAGAAUUGAAGAAGCUUCAUUAUUCAUUUUCAUAUGUUUUUUCCUUUUUUUUGUUGUAAAAGUUAAUUAAGUUGUAAAAGUUAAAAAUAAAGUUAUCGAAAAAUACAGUCCACUCAAUCGAACAAGAAUCAGUGCAGCAAAUAACGUGGACCUACGUCAAAACCCACCAUUUUG
Molecule: long non-coding RNA, 2082 nt
Organism: Cylas formicarius (sweet potato weevil)
Lineage: Eukaryota; Metazoa; Arthropoda; Insecta; Coleoptera; Brentidae
Exons: 4
Source: RefSeq, a predicted model, not a curated record